This 718-nucleotide long non-coding RNA is filed under the name Homo sapiens (human). RNAcentral describes it as "long independently transcribed non-coding RNA 2305, transcript variant 1 (LINC02305)". Lineage: Eukaryota; Metazoa; Chordata; Mammalia; Primates; Hominidae. The record is from RNAcentral.
AUUUGUGACUGACACAUUAUUGCUUUCCAGGAAGUGGUAGGGAUGACAAAAAAGCAUAUUCCAACAGGGCUUUGGAGAGGAUAAAGUCCAAGAAGUACUGAAACCAAGAGUCACUUAAAUUUUUAAGAAUCUUCAUUUUAAAGAUAAGUAGUAGUCCACAUAGGAAUGCAUGGUAUUCAAUGAUGAUUUCCUACAUUUAUUCAAGGGAUAGGAACAUGCUAUUGUGAUCAGAAAGAAAAAUCAAACAAAAAGAAGAGGCCAAAGGAAAGGAUAUGGUCAGAAAAAAAAAUCAAACAAAAAGAAGAAGGUGAUAAAGGAAAACAGACGAUAGUGGUUCCUAUCAAGAUCUUAGAGAAAGAGAACAUUAAGGGAGACAAAUUGGAGUGAUAUCCAACUAAUCAGAAGCUGGAUGUAGCUGAAGGACUUCUUGUUCUAAUUUAUCUGGCUGUGUCUUCACUGAGCGGAAGAAGAUAUGGUGGUUGAAGUUACAAGGACUCCUUGUUGUAACCAGGAGCCGAUCUUGAUCAAUGGAGCUACAUAAAGCAUGUUGAAAUGCAAAGAAAGAUAGAAGGAGCCUGUGGUACUGAAAACAUUGAGGAUUCUCUGAACCAGCCUUGGCUACCCCACCAUUUAACUUGAGAAAAAAUAUUUCUUUCCUCUUUAAGCUCUUCUUCUACCAAAUGUAUCAGGAAAUAAAAAUAUAUUAAAUUAAAACAAA